UACGUAGGGCGCAAGCGUUGUCCGGAAUUAUUGGGCGUAAAGAGCUCGUAGGCGGUCUGUCGCGUCGGAUGUGAAAGCCCGGGGCUUAACCCCGGGUCUGCAUUCGAUACGGGCAGACUAGAGUGUGGUAGGGGAGAUCGGAAUUCCUGGUGUAGCGGUGAAAUGCGCAGAUAUCAGGAGGAACACCGGUGGCGAAGGCGGGUCUCUGGGCCGUAACUGACGCUGAGGAGCGAAAGCGUGGGGAGCGAACAGG
This 253-nucleotide ribosomal RNA is filed under the name uncultured bacterium. Its description in RNAcentral is "partial 16S ribosomal RNA". It matches the Rfam family "Bacterial small subunit ribosomal RNA", at positions 524 to 776 of the family's 1533-position model. The record is from RNAcentral.